RNAcentral lists this ribosomal RNA (258 nucleotides) under uncultured bacterium. Its description in RNAcentral is "partial 16S ribosomal RNA". It matches the Rfam family "Bacterial small subunit ribosomal RNA", at positions 99 to 353 of the family's 1533-position model. The record is from RNAcentral.
CGGACGGGUGAGUAACGCGUGGGUAACCUACCCUGUACAGGGGGAGUAACAGUCAGAAAUGACUGCUAAUACCGCAUAAGACCACAGCACCGCAUGGUGCAGGGGUAAAAACUACCGGUGGUACAGGAUGGACCCGCGUCUGAUUAGCUGGUUGGUGAGGUAACGGCUCACCAAGGCGACGAUCAGUAGCCGGCUUGAGAGAGUGAACGGCCACAUUGGGACUGAGACACGGCCCAAACUCCUACGGGAGGCAGCAUG